Molecule: ribosomal RNA, 497 nt
Filed under: uncultured bacterium
Lineage: Bacteria
Description: partial 16S ribosomal RNA
Rfam family: Bacterial small subunit ribosomal RNA
Source: RNAcentral
GAUGAACGCUGGCGGCGUGCCUAAUACAUGCAAGUCGAGCGAACAGACGAGGAGCUUGCUCCUCUGACGUUAGCGGCGGACGGGUGAGUAACACGUGGAUAACCUACCUAUAAGACUGGGAUAACUUCGGGAAACCGGAGCUAGUACCGGAUAAUAUAUUGAACCGCAUGGUUCAAUAGUGAAAGACGGUUUUGCUGUCACUUAUAGAUGGAUCCGCGCCGCGUUAGCUAGUUGGUAAGGUAACGGCUUACCAAGGCAACGAUGCGUAGCCGACCUGAGAGGGUGAUCGGCCACACUGGAACUGAGACACGGUCCAGACUCCUACGGGAGGCAGCAGUAGGGAAUCUUCCGCAAUGGGCGAAAGCCUGACGGAGCAACGCCGCGUGAGUGAUGAAGGUCUUCGGAUCGUAAAACUCUGUUAUUAGGGAAGAACAAAUGUGUAAGUAACUAUGCACGUCUUGACGGUACCUAAUCAGAAAGCCACGGCUAACUACGUG